AGAGUUUGAUCCUGGCUCAGGACGAACGCUGGCGGCGUGCCUAAUACAUGCAAGUAGAACGCUGAAGAGAGGAGCUUGCUCUUCUUGGAUGAGUUGCGAACGGGUGAGUAACGCGUAGGUAACCUGCCUUGUAGCGGGGGAUAACUAUUGGAAACGAUAGCUAAUACCGCAUAACAAUGGAUGACACAUGUCAUUUAUUUGAAAGGGGCAAUUGUUCCACUACAAGAUGGACCUGCGUUGUAUUAGCUAGUAGGUGAGGUAAUGGCUCACCUAGGCGACGAUACAUAGCCGACCUGAGAGGGUGAUCGGCCACACUGGGACUGAGACACGGCCCAGACUCCUACAGGAGGCAGCAGUAGGGAAUCUUCGGCAAUGGGGGCAACCCUGACCGAGCAACGCCGCGUGAGUGAAGAAGGUUUUCGGAUCGUAAGGCUCUGUUGUAAGUCAAGAACGGGUGUGAGAGUGGAAAGUUCACACUGUGACGGUAGCUUACCAGAAAGGGACGGCUAACUACGUGCCAGCAGCCGCGGUAAUACGUAGGUCCCGAGCGUUGUCCGGAUUUAUUGGGCGUAAAGCGAGCGCAGGCGGUUUGAUAAGUCUGAAGUUAAAGGCUGUGGCUCAACCAUAGUUCGCUUUGGAAACUGUCAAACUUGAGUGCAGAAGGGGAGAGUGGAAUUCCAUGUGUAGCGGUGAAAUGCGUAGAUAUAUGGAGGAACACCGGUGGCGAAAGCGGCUCUCUGGUCUGUAACCGAUGCUGAGGCUCGAAAGCGUGGGGAGCGAACAGGAUUAGAUACCCUGGUAGUCCACGCCGUAAACGAUGAGUACUAGGUGUUGGAUCCUUUCCGGGAUUCAGUGCCGCAGCUAACGCAUUAAGCACUCCGCCUGGGGAGUACGACCGCAAGGUUGAAACUCAAAGGAAUUGACGGGGGCCCGCACAAGCGGUGGAGCAUGUGGUUUAAUUCGAAGCAACGCGAAGAACCUUACCAGGUCUUGACAUCCCGGUGCUAUUUCUAGAGAUAGAAAGUUACUUCGGUACAUCGGUGACAGGUGGUGCAUGGUUGUCGUCAGCUCGUGUCGUGAGAUGUUGGGUUAAGUCCCGCAACGAGCGCAACCCCUAUUGUUAGUUGCCAUCAUUCAGUUGGGCACUCUAGCGAGACUGCCGGUAAUAAACCGGAGGAAGGUGGGGAUGACGUCAAAUCAUCAUGCCCCUUAUGACCUGGGCUACACACGUGCUACAAUGGUUGGUACAACGAGUUGCGAGUCGGUGACGGCGAGCUAAUCUCUUAAAGCCAAUCUCAGUUCGGAUUGUAGGCUGCAACUCGCCUACAUGAAGUCGGAAUCGCUAGUAAUCGCGGAUCAGCACGCCGCGGUGAAUACGUUCCCGGGCCUUGUACACACCGCCCGUCACACCACGAGAGUUUGUAACACCCGAAGUCGGUGAGGUAACCUUUUGGAGCCAGCCGCCUAAGGUGGGACAGAUGAUUGGGGUGAAGUCGUAACAAGGUA
This 1506-nucleotide ribosomal RNA is filed under the name metagenome. Its description in RNAcentral is "bacterial SSU rRNA". It matches the Rfam family "Bacterial small subunit ribosomal RNA". The record is from RNAcentral.